AGAAAUGCGUGGAUCAGGAAUAGUAAAUACCGACAGGUCGAUAGAGAGAAGCCGGAUGGUGCAAGGCUUUGACCGGAAAGUAUGGAACCAGCCUGGGAGCAGUAAGAUGAAAAAGUUUGUAUAUUGUGAAGGAAUGAUGGUUACAGAUGCGAAGAGAAAUCUUACCGGCAGUCUCCGUUAUCAGAGGCACGUAAGUAAAAAGCUUAUGAUGAGAGCAGGUUUUUCCUGAAAUUAGGUGGUAACACGGAUAAGUAGAUUCGCCCUAAAC
RNAcentral lists this non-coding RNA (268 nucleotides) under Clostridium sp. Its description in RNAcentral is "T-box sequence". It matches the Rfam family "T-box leader". Rfam says of the family: Uncharged tRNA acts as the effector for transcription antitermination of genes in the T-box leader family. T-boxes are found upstream of many aminoacyl-tRNA synthetase genes and some amino acid biosynthetic genes usually in Gram-positive bacteria. The anticodon of a specific tRNA base pairs to a specifier sequence within the T-box motif, and the NCCA acceptor tail of the tRNA base pairs to a conserved bulge in the T-box antiterminator hairpin. The record is from RNAcentral. Lineage: Bacteria; Bacillati; Bacillota; Clostridia; Eubacteriales; Clostridiaceae.